CGGACGGGUGAGUAAUGUCUGGGAAACUGCCCGAUGGAGGGGGAUAACUACUGGAAACGGCAGCUAAUACCGCAUAACGUCGCAAGACCAAAGAGGGGGACCUUAGGGCCUCUUGCCAUCGGAUGUGCCCAGAUGGGAUUAGCUAGUAGGUGGGGUAAUGGCUCACCUAGGCGACGAUCCCUAGCUGGUCUGAGAGGAUGACCAGCCACACUGGAACUGAGACACGGUCCAG
RNAcentral lists this ribosomal RNA (232 nucleotides) under uncultured bacterium. Its description in RNAcentral is "partial 16S ribosomal RNA". It matches the Rfam family "Bacterial small subunit ribosomal RNA", at positions 99 to 334 of the family's 1533-position model. The record is from RNAcentral.